AGUGAACGCUGGCGAUAGGCCUAACACAUGCAAGUCGAACGGCAGCACAGUAAGAGCUUGCCCUUACGGGUGGCGAGUGGCGGACGGGUGAGGAAUACAUCGGAAUCUACUUUUUCGUGGGGGAUAACGUAGGGAAACUUACGCUAAUACCGCAUACGACCUACGGGUGAAAGCAGGGGAUCUUCGGACCUUGCGCGAUUGAAUGAGCCGAUGUCGGAUUAGCUAGUUGGCGGGGUAAAGGCCCACCAAGGCGACGAUCCGUAGCUGGUCUGAGAGGAUGAUCAGCCACACUGGAACUGAGACACGGUCCAGACUCCUACGGGAGGCAGCAGUGGGGAAUAUUGGACAAUGGGCGCAGGCCUGAUCCAGCCAUACCGCGUGGGUGAAGAAGGCCUUCGGGUUGUAAAGCCCUUUUGUUGGGAAAGAAAAGCAGCAGGUUAAUACCCCGCUGUUCUGACGGUACCCAAAGAAUAAGCACCGGCUAACUUCGUG
This 492-nucleotide ribosomal RNA is filed under the name uncultured bacterium. RNAcentral's name for it is "partial 16S ribosomal RNA". It matches the Rfam family "Bacterial small subunit ribosomal RNA", at positions 29 to 507 of the family's 1533-position model. The record is from RNAcentral.